UGAAGAAAAAUGUCGGUCAACAAUUCCGGUUCAAAUAUUUUUCCUUCGAUUCAAAAUUUCUAAUUACAAAAAAAAACUACAAUCGAAUAAAGAUAAAUAAACAAUGAAUGUAAAUAAUUUGACGAAAUUCUUUAUUUUAAAUAAAUCCCCAUUACACCCUAAAUGUUAAAUACUAAACAUAAAUAUUAAAAAAAAAAUCGGAGAAAUAAUACUGCGACAGAAAAUGUGGAAGUCAAAGUGUAUAAAUUUAUCGGCAAGAUUAUUAAAUUCGCAAAUAAGAUCGAGGGAAAGUGUUAUUGUUAAAAAAAGUUAUUGUCUAGUCAGUGUUAAUAGGUAUUUUAAUAAUGAAAGUGUCAGUGGGGGAGUGAGAAAUGAUUUUAUCGGAGGGCAAAUUUUGUCGUGUAGAAGCAGGAGAGAUGGGAUUCUAACCUCAAAAUUGAAUGUGAGACAUUCGUCAACAUCGUCAACAAUAGAUGCGGUUAAUCAAAAUUCGGCAUUAUUAGAUUAUCUUCCGACUGGAGAAUUAAGAGAAUUGAUAAUAUGGGUACAAUCGACAACCUGUCUACCCUGGUGGGCUUCAUUAGUUUUAUAUACUUUUGUAUUUCGAGUUUCGGUUCAGUUGCCAAUUUCGAUUUAUCAAAAACAUCUUAUGUAUCGUUAUGCGAAUGUGCAAUCGGAGAUUGUUGGUCACAGAUGGAGAUUGAAGAACGAAAUGAAGACAAAAGCUUUAAAAAAUUCUUGGUCGAAAAAAAAGGAAAAUCGUGAAUUGGCAAAAAGUAUUAGUGAGGAAAAAAGGAAAAUGUACGUAAAUUAUAAUUGUCAUCCGGCGAAACUUGGCAUAACUAUUGGAACAUUGUUAUUGGCAUUUAUGACUCAAGUUUGUGCGAUUCGAGAAUUAUGUAUAAUCCCGCCAAUUUCUGGUGUUUCGGAAAUCACAAGUUUGGAAUUAAUAACGGGCGGCUUUGGAUGGUUUGAAAAUCUUACGGAACAAGACCAAUUUUAUAUUCUUCCAGUUAUCGCAACUGUAUUAACUUUAGUCAAUAUUAAGGCGUCGAAUAUUCUUUAUCCACUUUCACCGCACAGUUCAAAUUUAUUGAAAAUACUUAGAAAAUCAACAACUUUUAUAUAUCCAGCAGUGACAAUGUUAUUUACAACGCAAUUACCAACCGCGGUCGUCAUUGCUUGGAUAACCAGCAACAUUUUUUCCUUCGGCGAAUUGAUUUUAUUCGCACAACCGAAAUUUCGCCGAUUAAUUAAAUUGCCAAAAGUUGAGAACGAAUUAGAUAAACCAAUAAUGACAUUAGCCAAUGUUGUGAGGGAAAAAUUGGCAUUUGCCACAAUGAAAAAGAAAUCAUCAUCAUCACCAUCAUCGUAGACAGUUUUCUUAUAAAAAAAAAUCUCUAAAAUGUUUUCUUUGAAAAUAUGUGAAAAAUCAACAGAAGCAGAAGCAGAAGCACUGUCAGUAUAUUGGAAUUAGGAGGAGUAAAGUGUGAGCGCUCAUUUAUCAUUAUUAUCUGCUCUACUUUUGGUCCACUUGCAUCCGAAGAAGGGGAAAUAUCUAAAGGAUACGGAGCAAGUUGCCAAGGUUACGCGAGCGUCAUAACUACCCUGCAGGCCCAGCCUAUUUGUUGUACACCCCCCCCCCCUCACCCCACC
RNA transcript from Leptopilina heterotoma, 1656 nucleotides. It is a transcript of the gene named cytochrome c oxidase assembly protein COX18, mitochondrial-like, with no coding region annotated. The record is from RefSeq and is a predicted model, not a curated record. NCBI's taxonomy places the organism in Eukaryota, Metazoa, Arthropoda, Insecta, Hymenoptera, Figitidae. The transcript is spliced from 7 exons.